AGUGAACGCUGGCGGUAGGCCUAACACAUGCAAGUCGAACGGCAGCACAGUAAGAGCUUGCUCUUACGGGUGGCGAGUGGCGGACGGGUGAGGAAUACAUCGGAAUCUACUUUUUCGUGGGGGAUAACGUAGGGAAACUUACGCUAAUACCGCAUACGACCUACGGGUGAAGGCAGGGGAUCUUCGGACCUUGCGCGAUUGAAUGAGCCGAUGUCGGAUUAGCUAGUUGGCGGGGUAAAGGCCCACCAAGGCGACGAUCCGUAGCUGGUCUGAGAGGAUGAUCAGCCACACUGGAACUGAGACACGGUCCAGACUCCUACGGGAGGCAGCAGUGGGGAAUAUUGGAUAAUGGGCGCAAGCCUGAUCCAGCCAUACCGCGUGGGUGAAGAAGGCCUUCGGGUUGUAAAGCCCUUUUGUUGGGAAAGAAAAGCAGCAGGUUAAUACCCCGCUGUUCUGACGGUACCCAAAGAAUAAGCACCGGCUAACUUCGUG
This 492-nucleotide ribosomal RNA is filed under the name uncultured bacterium. RNAcentral's name for it is "partial 16S ribosomal RNA". It matches the Rfam family "Bacterial small subunit ribosomal RNA", at positions 29 to 507 of the family's 1533-position model. The record is from RNAcentral.